RNAcentral lists this ribosomal RNA (515 nucleotides) under uncultured bacterium. RNAcentral describes it as "partial 16S ribosomal RNA". It matches the Rfam family "Bacterial small subunit ribosomal RNA", at positions 28 to 523 of the family's 1533-position model. The record is from RNAcentral.
GAUGAACGCUGGCGGCGUGCCUAAUACAUGCAAGUCGAGCGAAUGGAUUAAGAGCUUGCUCUUAUGAAGUUAGCGGCGGACGGGUGAGUAACACGUGGGUAACCUGCCCAUAAGACUGGGAUAACUCCGGGAAACCGGGGCUAAUACCGGAUAACAUUUUGAACCGCAUGGUUCGAAAUUGAAAGGCGGCUUUGGCUGUCACUGAUGGAUGGACCCGCGUCGCAUUAGCUAGUUGGUGAGGUCACGGCUCACCAAGGCAACGAUGCGUGGCCGAGCUGAGAGGGUGAUCGGCCACACUGGGACUGAGACACGGCCCAGACUCCUACGGGAGGCAGCAGUAGGGAAUCUUCCGCAAUGGACGAAAGUCUGACGGAGCAACGCCGCGUGAGUGAUGAAGGCUUUCGGGUCGUAAAACUCUGUUGUUAGGGAAGAACAAGUGCUAGUUGAAUAAGCUGGCACCUUGACGGUACCUAACCAGAAAGCCACGGCUAACUACGUGCCAGCCGCCGCAGUAA